Molecule: ribosomal RNA, 1484 nt
Filed under: Helicobacter pylori SA222C
Lineage: Bacteria; Pseudomonadati; Campylobacterota; Epsilonproteobacteria; Campylobacterales; Helicobacteraceae
Description: bacterial SSU rRNA
Rfam family: Bacterial small subunit ribosomal RNA
Source: RNAcentral
AGAGUUUGAUCCUGGCUCAGAGUGAACGCUGGCGGCGUGCCUAAUACAUGCAAGUCGAACGAUGAAGCUUCUAGCUUGCUAGAAUGCUGAUUAGUGGCGCACGGGUGAGUAACGCAUAGGUUAUGUGCCUCUUAGUUUGGGAUAGCCAUUGGAAACGAUGAUUAAUACCAGAUACUCCCUACGGGGGAAAGAUUUAUCGCUAAGAGAUCAGCCUAUGUCCUAUCAGCUUGUUGGUAAGGUAAUGGCUUACCAAGGCUAUGACGGGUAUCCGGCCUGAGAGGGUGAACGGACACACUGGAACUGAGACACGGUCCAGACUCCUACGGGAGGCAGCAGUAGGGAAUAUUGCUCAAUGGGGGAAACCCUGAAGCAGCAACGCCGCGUGGAGGAUGAAGGUUCUAGGAUUGUAAACUCCUUUUGUUAGAGAAGAUAAUGACGGUAUCUAACGAAUAAGCACCGGCUAACUCCGUGCCAGCAGCCGCGGUAAUACGGAGGGUGCAAGCGUUACUCGGAAUCACUGGGCGUAAAGAGCGCGUAGGCGGGAUAGUCAGUCAGGUGUGAAAUCCUAUGGCUUAACCAUAGAACUGCAUUUGAAACUACUAUUCUAGAGUGUGGGAGAGGUAGGUGGAAUUCUUGGUGUAGGGGUAAAAUCCGUAGAGAUCAAGAGGAAUACUCAUUGCGAAGGCGACCUGCUGGAACAUUACUGACGCUGAUUGCGCGAAAGCGUGGGGAGCAAACAGGAUUAGAUACCCUGGUAGUCCACGCCCUAAACGAUGGAUGCUAGUUGUUGGAGGGCUUAGUCUCUCCAGUAAUGCAGCUAACGCAUUAAGCAUCCCGCCUGGGGAGUACGGUCGCAAGAUUAAAACUCAAAGGAAUAGACGGGGACCCGCACAAGCGGUGGAGCAUGUGGUUUAAUUCGAAGAUACACGAAGAACCUUACCUAGGCUUGACAUUGAGAGAAUCCGCUAGAAAUAGUGGAGUGUCUGGCUUGCCAGACCUUGAAAACAGGUGCUGCACGGCUGUCGUCAGCUCGUGUCGUGAGAUGUUGGGUUAAGUCCCGCAACGAGCGCAACCCCCUUUCUUAGUUGCUAACAGGUCAUGCUGAGAACUCUAAGGAUACUGCCUCCGUAAGGAGGAGGAAGGUGGGGACGACGUCAAGUCAUCAUGGCCCUUACGCCUAGGGCUACACACGUGCUACAAUGGGGUGCACAAAGAGAAGCAAUACUGCGAAGUGGAGCCAAUCUUCAAAACACCUCUCAGUUCGGAUUGUAGGCUGCAACUCGCCUGCAUGAAGCUGGAAUCGCUAGUAAUCGCAAAUCAGCCAUGUUGCGGUGAAUACGUUCCCGGGUCUUGUACUCACCGCCCGUCACACCAUGGGAGUUGUGUUUGCCUUAAGUCAGGAUGCUAAAUUGGCUACUGCCCACGGCACACACAGCGACUGGGGUGAAGUCGUAACAAGGUAACCGUAGGUGAACCUGCGGUUG